AAAAACCGAUUGUCAGACGUGUAUACCAAACACAGCUGAUUGAAUCGUCAAGACAUUGUUGGGAGCCGCCGGUAUUCUACUCCUACUAAUUUCGUUCAUAGUACACUAGAUGUUACUAGGUUAGUAGCAGUUUACCAUUGAGCACAGUAGAAACGAUUCGGUAUGAAAGGAUGUCGAAAAAAAUAGCGAAAUUAGUAAAAAUAACGAUCCACCGAUGCUCCCUUGCGGAGUAGGGUCUGUUAUUAU
Long non-coding RNA from Bradysia coprophila, 246 nucleotides. The record is from RefSeq and is a predicted model, not a curated record. Lineage: Eukaryota; Metazoa; Arthropoda; Insecta; Diptera; Sciaridae.